UGUUUAGUUGCCAUUUUUCUCAGCCCAAAAUGAAUUAAUCGAACGUUGCUGUCCAAAUGUCUGACAAAUUGUGCAGUGAGUAAAUUUUCUCUUUCCCUGAAUAUGCCCCUCCCACCGACACUUUCCUUUCCCCACAUUCGUCUCCCAACCUGGCGACAGAGCACCCAAAACACAGGCCAAAAAUUUCAGCAAUCAAACUAUUCGGUGUCGACUUUCACCUUCCCACAACUGAACGACUUCCCACAACAACUAUCACCGGUUCCCCUCAAGCCACAAUCCACAACGAUGCUUGAUCGACGCAGAGACGAUGACCAACAAUGGAUGAAUCCGGAAAACAGGUACACAUAUAAUAAAUUAUCCUUUCAUCUUCCACUUCCCCCGAUUUUUCUAUUGUUAAAAACCGCAGUCAGGGGAUUUCACUCACGGAACUUCCAACUUAGCGAUGGGGACGGCCUCGAAGUCCUACUCUCGCUGGAGUCCAGAAGCCACCCGAGCUUUCAUUGCUGCGUGUUAGACCGCCAUUGCAGAGGGGUAGUGAGGUCUUUGUUUUACAAAACACGAUGGGAACGAGUCGCCUCACUCUUCAACUCAGUGAUCGGCCAUAACUGGACCCGCUAGCAGCUGUGAAAUCAUUGGGAUUCAAUGAGUCGAACAUACAAGCGUCUAUCGGAACUUGUCAACAGUAGCGGGGUUGAGUAUAACGAUGCUACCGGCUGAAUCGUUGCUUCUGAAGAAUGGUGGCACAGGAAGAUUUAGGUAAUGGACUCCCAGUUUCACUUUAACUCGAUUUUGGACAGUCGAAUACAUGACUAGUGAAUGCCUUUCCAGUGGAAAAUUUGUCUAUUAGUUCACAUUUGCAUCACACAACCUAUUCUCCCCUGGACUGUGGCUUUACACUGCCGAAAAUGAACAAUGCAUUUGGCCAAAUUAAUGUUACAUCUUUUCUAAUUUUUGUUUCUACGUUAUCGUAUUGCCUUAUGUCUUUAUGCUUUGAGAUUGUUUUUACUUCCACCGAUUGCUAGAACUUGACAAUGUACUGUAUUGUAAAUGUUGAGACUCUGCAAUUUUCAUUACAGAAGUGUUGUGACUGUUCGAGUGCUACUCAUUUUAGAUUCGAGUGUUCAUUGAUUUGCUUGCCUGAUUCGAUGCUUGUGUCCUGUGUGAUAUGUCUUCAUGGUUUUUACAUGUGUUUCUUUACUGGAUUUUCAUUUCGGCAAAACCUCGUGCUAUAACAUUAUUCGCGACCAUAACAAUUACGAACUCGCCCGUUUUAAUUAAUACGAUGCAACGUGUUUCUUACACGCUUGCGAGAUUAUUUGAUACUUUGAAUAUUAAUGUCCAUAGAUUCCUGUACAUGCAAUGAAUUGCUCUUGUUGUUAACUUCAUGCUGCAUAUUACACCUCUGUAUCAGUUGUUUCUAUGUUUUGCCACAUGGCGAAUUAUGUUUCACAAUGGUAUUCUCAUUGUCAAACCUGUGCUAUGCAGAAGAACAAGGAUUAUAAAGACUUCAAGGACAAGGACGUCAACGAGAUAUACAUAAAGUACCGUAAGUUAUUUGACGACCGCUACGAUGGAGAUAAGUAUACUAUGACUCCAACGAAGUUGUACAAAACGGGCUUCAGCAUGUACGAGGAUAGUGAGCUUGAGGACACUAGGGAUGCAAUCUCGGUGGACGGAGAGGGCAGUAGUUCGAGCGAUGAGGUCGAACAGGCGGGGGUUGGUGACUGCGUGAACGUUUCGAGCACGACAAGUGGCGGGAAAAGAAAGUCGUCUAGCGGGCAGCGUAGGGCCAGGAAGAAAUAGAUGUCCGCUCGUGAAUUGUCAUUCUUAGUAGACUGCACUACCAGUGCGACGAAGGAAAUAGCGACACUAAUUCAUACAAUGAUGGCUUCAAAUGAAACUGCUUGGGCGGACUGCGUCCAAGAGCUAUUAGCGACAGGCCACCUCGAGUAACGAACACCUCUUUAUUUCUUCGCAUGCCAGCUUCUAGCCCAGAAGUGAUACCGUGACAUGCUUGCCGUCAUGAAAAAAGCAGAUGCGAAAUUUGAGUGGAUUGAGUGGAUGUUCAAUGACCGUGGGAAGUUACAAUGUAAGUGACUGUGUGCCUUUUUUUUCUUUGCCGUCUGUAUGAAAACUGUUGUAUUUUCGUUGCGUACUUUUUUACACUUGUUCAUUAUGCAUUCGAAGAUGCUAUAUGCUGUUAAAUCUAUUCACG
RNAcentral lists this long non-coding RNA (2215 nucleotides) under Olea europaea subsp. europaea. The record is from RNAcentral. Lineage: Eukaryota; Viridiplantae; Streptophyta; Magnoliopsida; Lamiales; Oleaceae.